This 840-nucleotide long non-coding RNA is filed under the name Malus domestica (apple). RNAcentral's name for it is "long non-coding RNA (MDOM_LNC015435)". The record is from RNAcentral. Lineage: Eukaryota; Viridiplantae; Streptophyta; Magnoliopsida; Rosales; Rosaceae.
ACAACAACUCCACAACUUGCAGCCAUUAUAUAUAUAAAAGAAGUACUACUGCCCCCUGAUUGGUGGUCACGAUGAUGAUCAAGUAAUAGUAAUCUUUGCCUCAACAGUCAGUCAACCAACAACAUUUUCAAGUUGAUAUUUAAAAAUUUAAGCUCAAAACAUGCUGCUGCUAUAACAUUAUAAACAAAUAUGCUGAACUGUUGAAGUGCUCAACAAUUAAAGCCUACAAGGGUUCCAAGAAGCAACCACAGAGAGCAAACAUUCAAACAAACAACCACAAAGAGCAAACAUUCAAACACAUCAGAUAGGUGGUCUAUUGGAAACAAAUUAGUUGUUGCCUCUUAUCUAACCCAUAGAAAACAAGUCGGCAUAAAUUAUUUGUUAGACAUCAAUCAUACAGAUUACAAUCUGACAACAAUUUGUUGCUCAUUUCUAUUCAGGCUUUUGCAAGGGCCUAACAAGGCGCAAAGCUGCAAGUCGAUAAGCUUCAUCUCAAAAGCCUAGGCCACCUAAGUUUAUCCAGAUUGCUUAUUAAUUUCCUUAUGUUCAUCCAGAUUCAGAGUCAAUCAUGGGAACAAGAUGAAUCUCUAACCCUAGGCCACCUAAGUUUAGAGGUCAUGAGCUCAAAUUCAAUUCAAUUACUUUCUGAAGCAUAAAAAUACUCAAUCUCUUAUUACAACUCAAUCAAUAUUUUCAAUAAAAUACAAAUAAAAUCUCUAAAACUGUAAGUAGAACAGAAAAUUAAACGUGAGAGUGUGAGUGAGACUAUUAGACUAACCUUUUGCUGUGAUUGAGAGUGAGAAUUCGUCGGUAGGAAUGAGAGACACAGAGAGAGAGAGG